AAGAAAUUAGGUUUAAUAUUCAA
This 23-nucleotide transfer RNA is filed under the name Crocodylus novaeguineae (New Guinea crocodile). Its description in RNAcentral is "partial tRNA-Trp". The record is from RNAcentral. Lineage: Eukaryota; Metazoa; Chordata; Crocodylia; Crocodylidae. RNAcentral also lists the same sequence under 1 other name.